AGGCCGCCGGGCUCCGUGAGGGGCUCCUGGUCCCUUUGUCCCCUCCCCAGGUCCCGGGACAUCCACGGAAUGCCUGGAGGAGGAAGAGCUGCUGGCAAGGCCUGCAGCACCCGGGUGACAAGGACAAACAAAGCUCCCUGCUGUUUGCUCUGAGCGUGCCAAGCUGGCACUGCUCCCUUUCCGGGGACAUUAGAGGCCAGAAAUCACAUAAUUAAUUGAGCACAUCCUGUGCCACACGGGGCUGCCACGACUUUGAAGUCCCAAUAGAUCAUUUUAUGGAGCCGUGGGUACCAUUUUUUCCAAGGCAGCACCAGGCGCCAGCUCGAGGCCUUGUGGAAUUCAGCAUAUCCUACUCCAGGAAAGUGUGGUCUGAUUUAGCAUCAUGGAGCUGGGAGCUGUUACUGAUCCUGCAGCAGCAGUGAGGCAAAAAGACCCUGACAGGCUCUAUUAACCCUUAAAAACAAUAAAUGAUCUCAUCAGCCCCUCAAAGACAGAAGAAGAAAUAAUAAUGCAAUCAUUGACUUGGGUGAGGGAACAAGGCUUUGGGGGAUUGAUGCUGAAAUCCAUCCCCAAAGCCCCUGGUGCUGGAAUUAGCCAAGAGGGGCUGAGUUUCUCUAAGCUGAAAAGCAUUUAAAAAGGAGAAUAUGGAUGCACAGACAUAGCAGAACUUGUAUUUAUAUAUAUUUAUGUAGCUAUUUAUGUGAAGAACAGAGAGAGGAAGACAGAAGCUGAGUGGAAAAAUCUUAAAUGGAGUGAAAAAUAAUUGAGCCUGCACCACGUUGGUGCAUUUGGAAGAAAGGGCUGCGAAACUCCCUAAAAACUCUUUAAAUCUGAGAACUUAAGUCAGGAACUUCUGGAGAUGCAUUGAAAAUUGUUAAUUUUCAUGUAUUUUUAGCACUUUUUGAAAAGACAAACAGCAUCACUCGGUGUGGUUUUCUAGACUCGUGCAGAAUGAUUAUCUUCCCUCUGGAAUGAUGGGAAUUCUGUGUCACUGGAAAGAAGAGAAAUGAGAUUUUUUUGUACAGACAUUUCAAGCCAGCUCCUGACAUCUGAUGGGAAAUCACAUUCCUGCCUCUGAAUCCAUAAAAGCAUUUCAAAAUCCUGUAGGGAAAAAAAAAAUCAUCUUAUUCUCCAUGAAAUUCUGAGCAGUUUAAAGAUGAUUUCUGUGUGUAUUCAUGCUUCAUUUUAUAGAGCUUCUUUAAUUUCACGGCUACUUGGGGUCUUAUUCAAAAUCCCAUGUUGGAAAUGAAAAAUUUCCAUUGUUUCCGAUGGGCUUUGGAUGAAGCAGUGGAGAAACUUUCUGUGGGACUAAAAAUGGGAAUCAAUUCAUUACAGAAUCCCUGAGGUUCAUUUAAAAAGUCUUGUGAGCAGAAAUUGCUCUGUCUGUGGGGCAAACUCAUUAAAUUCCUUGUCUUGUGCCUUGUAUUUUCAUCCUGAGGUGGAUAAACAGGCAGGAAAAUCCUCAUUUUAUAUUCAAAUGCUCUUCAAAAUGAUGCCAGUAGGAAAAAGGUGAAUUGAACAGGGCUGGAAUUAAAAGUGGAGAUCUCCAGUCAUUCAUAAUGAUCUAAAAACUGCUUUAUCUAGUGAAUAUUUGAUAAUGCCAUUAAAUAUUUUAUAUUUUUAUAUUUUGGAUAUUUUUAUAUUUGUCAUUCUGGCUGUUUUAGAUGGAUAUUUAGUGUGAGUUAUUCCAAUUUUCUGCCUCUCUCCCUUUUUUCUCUGUUCCCUUCUGGCAAAUUCACACAUUCUCUAAAAGUGAAGAAUAUGUUGAACUUCAUGCUCUCCUAAUUUGAAUUGUGCUUACUGUAGGAUGACAAAAAUAAUUCCAGAUUUGCUUUGAAAAUGCUUUUUAAUUUAAUUUUUUUUCCCUGAGAUGAAUAUAGGGCUCUUUAGAAAGAAAAAACCCUGAAUUUUGAAGCAUUUCUGUGUCAAAGCAAUGACCUGUGUUGAUAAUUCUAAUUUUUUUAUUUCUCAGUUGUAAUGGUUGGAGCUGCAAUGCAAUGCAAUAUUGAAAACUCCAAUAUUUGGUCAAUAAAUCAUAAAUGAAAUGUCAUUUUUCCCUUCAUUUCCAAGCUCUUGGGGCUCUGGGUUGAACAGAGCCACAGUCCCAGGGAUUCUGGAAGGGAGGCUCAGCCUUGGAGAGUGCCUCAGUCCAACCUGGUCACUCAGUUUUCUCUGGAAUUCUGUGUUCUCCAGGCAGCUCAGCCCCAUAAAUGAACCCAUCCAUUUCAGUGAGUAAACCCCAUAAAUCCGGCCUGGAUUUGGACCUAAAAGUUGGGCAAAUUUCAGAUGAUUUGGGGGUGACACUGAAAGCAAUUCCCCUGCCAUGGGCCGAGCGAGGCAGAAAAUGCAAAUCCCAUCUGAGUGUGCAGGUUGGGAGUGAUUUCAAACAGCCACUGGAGCUUCAUGACAAUUCCUUUAACUCUAGAACGUGUUCAGCGCAAACCUACAGGAGUUUUUUUUUGUUUUUUCCCCCUCCUGUACGAGGCAAAGCAGACAAUGAGGUUGCAGAAAGUGUACGAGACUGGUUUUGUUUAACUUUGGUCUUCUCAAUUUACUCUCCCUGCCACUGCCCUCUGGAUAUUUUUAUGGAAGCAAAAGAAAAUGCUCCUUUUAUGUAUUAGGGCUAUGCAUGGGGGUGACUCAUUUGGCAAUAUUAAUAAGAGGUAAAAUCAGUUUUAUUUUGAAAUCUCCUCCAGAAUUAUUUGGGUGAAAGAGAAAAAUGGUCAAGAUUGCAGGAUGAGGCCGUUUGCUGCAUGGGGAGGGUUUUACCUUUCCUGGUGUUUCUAAUUCUGCAGAAUAACGAGAUUAGAAAGAAAAUACCCAGCACGGACUACAAAGAGAGCUCGUUCUGGGGAAAGCCAGGCUGGGAUAUUCUUGUUUUGGAGGGCUAGGUGCAGCUCAGGCUGGGAAAAGCUGGGAAUUCUUCACAUUUUGGUGAAGGGUGACAACAUCACACCCUGCUUCAGGCAUGGCUCUUCCUCUUGAGCUGCUUUUCCAUGGAUUGUGAAUGGAUCCUGCAGCCACAGACAGAUUGCCUGAUUUUUACAGGGCAAAAACAAACCCCAAAGCAGCCCCUGUUCUGUGUUUGUGCUUUCUCAGCACAGGGGGAUGUGACAGCUCUGUCUCAAACACCUGGAGCAUGGCCCUGGAUGCUGUAGGAUCUUCUGCCUUCAUGUAAGGGCUUCCACAUCAUAACAUCAGUCUGAAAAAUAAUCCCAAACCAAGAAAUCGUAGUGAGGGAGAGCAGAAGGAAGGAGGCCAUCAAUGGUACUCACAAAUGAAUGGUUUCUAGCAGUGCAACCCUCCCAAAUGUCCCAGCCUGGCCCUCCUGUUUCAUUUCAUACACUGAAUUCAAAAACCCAUCCAUCUUUUCAUCAGGUCAUUUUUACAGGCAAGUGAAAAUAAAGGGCAGUACCUUGAUGAAAGCUGUGUACAAGAUAACCAAAGCAAAAUGUGCUUUUUAUAAAUGACUGUGUCAUGCUGGCUGUUUUGGAAGGAUAUUUAGUGUGACUUAUCCCAGAUUUCUGCUUCUUUCCCUCGUUUCUCCCUUUCCUUUGCUCUCCUCUUCUGGAAAACUCACACAUUCCCUAGAAGUGAAGAAUAUCAGGAGCUUUAUGCUCUCCUAAUUUGAAUCCUACUCACAGUAGGAUGAGAACAAUAAUUCCAGGUUCUCUGAAUGGUGGCUCAGCUUAGAGCUGUGUUACCCUGGUCUUUAAACUGAGAGUUAGACAUAGUUAAGGGAUAAAGAGUUUUUAUUUCAGUAUUGAAUAAGGAUUUUUAUGGUGUAAUAAUUUGUUAAAGGUGGGAUAUGUUGAAAUGUAUGUUUAUGGUUUGUUGCAUAUAUAAUUUUAUAGACUUUGCAAAUGAGCAUAUUUGACAAAGAUGUUUUAAUGAGAAGUUUAAAUGAAUAGAGUGACAUCUCUAUCUUAAAGUAUCUUUUUAGAUGGAUUUAAAUUUAGUUUAUAAGAUAAGCUCUAUCUAAAGGGGGCUUUGGUUUUCUAAGAUUUUUUUUGGCUUUUAAUUGUGAGGCUUUUAGGAUACUUGGUUUUCUGGCUUAAUAGAAUAUUAGGAUUAUGUUAAGAUAUUUGACUUAAAGAAUGAUAAGUAUGUAUGUUAAGGUAUAUACAUACAUACUAUGAAUAUAUCAGAGACAUGUAAGGGAAUAUAUGAGAGGUAUAUAAAAAGAAAAGGCAAAAAAUCAUCAUGGCACCAGCCCCUUUCAGUGCCUUUGCCUCAUCCCAUCACCUUGUUUUCCUCCAUCCUGCAUUUCCCAAGGCUGGACCAUCCAUCCUUCCUUUCCCGUGUUGCCUGUAGCUGUGUAAAACAGCAAAGUGAGUGAUUUCCAUCUGGCAGCUCUUGCCUCGAACCAGUCUGUGUCUCUACCCACAAAUAACUCCCAAAUAAUUAAAUUGUCCGGGUUUUGAUCUUGCUCACAGGAGCAGAGCAAUUUUCAUUCCCUCAUGGAUUAGCUUAUCCUACAAGGUUAUGAUUCAAGCCUUCCCUUCUGCUCCGAUAUGAUUCUUCCAGACCUGGGGCCUGAUAGGGCCCUGCACAGCACCAGGCCUCUGUUUUCUCUGUAAAUACAGCCUACAAAAUUUCAACAAGUCAGCCCUUGUGUGCCACACCGGGAGAUUGAUGACAAACCACAUUAUUUUUCCCCUCCAUAGAACUGCCCACAAUUACAGCAGGGCUCUCUCCAAACACUGCUCUGUUUUUGUCCAGCAGGGAAAGGGCAGCAGCACGGGCCGGGAUCCGCCAGCGGGGCUGGAGGCAACACUGAGCAGCAUUAUUUGGGGAAAAUGCCCUUUUCUUCCCUCUUUUUUCUCCCUAUCCAUGAUAAAAUAUUGGAGCAGAUUCUGCCACGUGGGUUUAUGCAAAGCCAUGAACCCACCAGGAAAGGUUAUCUCAAUACCAAGGGAAGGAAAGGAGGGGCUCAGACCUGGAAAAAAUUCCCCUGAGCUGCUCCUGGGAUGCUGAGGCGGCUCCCAAACCAGGAAAUUGGUGAAAUUGGGAUUAUUAGUGGUUCCUGGAGAUUAGGCUUGUACUGUGCUGGGGCUUUGAUCCAAAAAUUCCUGUUUUCUGUUGGCCCUGUGUUUGAUAAUUCAGAAAAUUAAUAAUCACACAGAGAACACCACCACUACGCUGUAAGAUGUCAGGAAUAAACAGGUUACAAAAAUAAGUUUAAAAGGUAAUAAAAGGCUCCAUCUCCUGAAAGAAGAUUCCUGGAGAUGCAGGACCACACUGCUCUUGCUAUCCCAUAAUCCCUAACACCCAGUUUUUUAAACAUCCAGUUUUAAAUCCCUGAUUUUUGUCCUGCCAUCCCUCCUGCAUUUUGCUUGCAUCACAUAAUAAAAUUUGGAAAACAAGGAUUGCUGGGUGCUCUGAUGAUCUUUCCAGAAAUCUGCUGUCCUCCAGAUAACUGAAUUCCCAGACUCCAUGGAGAACUUGGGAGCACCUGAAGAGCAGGGCUCCCUUUCAAGUGAAAAACACUCCGAGCAUCCAACAUCUGUCAGAAUUCCCCAAUUUGUCACGAGGCUGCUGCAGGCUCAUCCAUCAUCCUGCCACGCCACGCUGGAAAUGGUGCUGAAAAGAUCCAAGUCAUUGCCUCCAAAAUGUUUUCUUUAUCUCUGGGCACCUUCAAAUCUUCCACAGGAGCCCUGAAAUCUCUGCUCUGCCUGCUCAUUGUUUAUAAAAUGUGUUUAAUUUGGGUGGUUUGUGUAUGAAAUGAGGGUGGUUGAGGGUUUUUUUUCUUCCUGCAGGGGCAUUUCUGGUCAAAACAUGGAUGUGCAGCAGAUUUCAGAGUGAUAAAGAACCCUCUUGUGUUAAGUUUACCCAUUGAAACUUCAAUUAUUUUCUGCUAAUUCCAUUUUUUUGUUAGCUUUCUUUUUACUUAUUUACUUAGAUCUCCAAAUAAAUGGUGACAUUCCAAGAUGUACAGAAUAUUCAGACUACUGUAGGUAAGAAAUCAAUUGCUUAAUUCUUCAAUUAUGGCACCUAUAUUGCCAAUAUUUAGCUCAAGAAAUGGAGUUUCCAAUGAGAUCAGUUUAAUCAAUCUAAUUUUUAGAGGCUCAAAAUAGAAUUUCUACAACUUCUCAUGUCUGUAAAAAAAAUUUUAUGUGCAUUUUUCUCCUUGGUACCCCAAAGUUUCUCAAUAAUUUCUGAGAGACUAUUGUUCCUUCUAAAGCUUGUGUAGGUCUAGAUAAGAUGCACAAAUUCCUGAAAAAAAAAAGUCUAAAAUUCUUCUGGAAUUGCAAAUUGUCUCUGCUUUGGUUGUUUGAAGCGAAAUCAUUCUGAAAACUUAAUUCUUCCUUGGAAUUUCAAAUCAAAAAAUUUUGGAAAAUAAAACAAGGCCUUGAGGUUUCAGCAAGAGAUAAACCAGAAUUCAAACACAAAUUUCAAAUUCUGUGUGAUUAUCUUGGAUAUCAAAGCAGAUUGGCAAAUAAAAUUAAAUGUGACCAGAAUGCUGCUAUUCAGUCCACAAAUUUAAGACAACUUAAUGCUAGGGAAGUGUUAAAAAUCCGAUAUUUGGUUCUAGGAGGACAACGAAUCAGUGCAAAUGGAUUUUUUCACAGUUCCUUGGGCAGGGAAUGGGAAGGAUUUUAAAGGACUUUUGGCAGGGAAGGGGGAUAAAGAGCAUUGGGCCGAUGCCUCCAGGAGCUCUGAGAAUCCCACCAGUUUUCCAUGAGAUUUCUGACACCUCUGUGGAAAAUGUGAACGGUUUAAUCCUGGGAGCUGCAGCCCUGCUCUUGAGGAAGAGGGAUCCAGGAUGGAGCUGGCAGCACUGGAAACCCUCUGUAGUGAACUCAGAAACUGUAGCAAACAGAAAUAUAUUUAAUUUAGGGCUUUUUAAAAAAAAAUAAUACUAAUUUAAAUUUUUUUUGUUGUUGUUGUUUGUUUUCUAACAAAUGAUCAGUUCAGAACAUCCUGAUCAAUCAGAACCUCUGUGAGCAGCUUUGGAGUACUUGCAAGGAGGAUGAACUCAGGCUGUGGCUUUGCAGGGCACUGAGCUGGGGUGGUGAGGUGAAAACCAGGGAAGAGCCAUUUCUUGCCCUUAAAUUUAAAAAAAAAAAAAAAAAGGAAUUGAAAAAAAAGGGAUAAAGAAAAAAAGGAAAAAAGAAAAAAAGAAAGGCAGCAAUAAAGCAAAAGGCACUUCCUAAAGGUAGCCAUUAAAUCAUUCAACACUCAGCUCCCCCGAGAGCAGAGGGUUCCUCUUUCCUUUCCAGGAGGGGUUUUCAGGAACCAUUCCUCAUCCUCUGCUCAGUGUCUUCUCCCUGGGCAUUGUCCCAGAGCCCAUCCAGGGGCAGCACUGCAGCAUUCCCUGGGAUGGCCUCGGGCCCAUAGAUCACUUCCCAAAAAGUUUCCAAUGGCUCCCCAAAGAGGAGGGCCGAGGGCUCUGUUUUGCUCGUGAUAAUGUGUUAAUGCUCCAAGACCCCACAUAAAUCUUCUCCCUGCAUCAUCAUUUGUCAAAGUCACAACACGGGGCUGGAAACAGCAAAAAAAAAAACCAAAAAAACCAACCCAAUUCAACCGAAAAAUAAAAAAAAGUACGAUGAGAUAGAAAACGUGGCUUUGUUUUUUUCGUCCCUCCCAUGUGAUUUUUCCCCUUCCUCUCCCCCUUCUCCUUUUCUCUUAAUCUCUAAACCAUCUGAUUGUGGAGAAAUGGUAAAUAAAGGCUUUGGUUUCUUUGUUUUUUUGUGUGAGUGCACACGUGCAUGGUUUGCUGGACACUUAAAAAUGGGAACUCCAAGUUUGUUGGAGGAGCCUUUGCCACCUCUGCUCAGGAAAAUGUUCUUUGGGUGAGGGUUGGUCGCCCUGGCGCUGCUUCCCAGUUUAGUCAUCGUUUGGGCUGAUCAAAUUAGAUGGAAAAACACGAUGGUAUCAAAAGCCCUGAUGGCUGAGGGAAUUUGUUUUUAAUCAUCUCUGAGGGAACAAUCCCACAGACCACAUCAAAAUGUUCUCCAGUGCUUGCUUGAAGUGAAACGAAGUCAUGAGAGAGAAAAUCAGACUUGUUUCAAUGUUUUAUUUCUCUUUUCCUUUUCAGCUCCAUUUCACUGUCUUGUUCUCAAUUUCAUUUUUUCCCUCCACCAUCCUGAUAAAAUGGUUCUUUUAAAACAUCUCCUGAAAAUCACUGGAUGGGGAUGGUUAGCUGACGUUUGUGCUCUGAAGUGCCAAGGCAGACACAUUUUACUGGUUUUACCAGUAAUUCUGUCUUAGAUGAGUUCUUGAUGUCCAGACAGGGAAUCGUGAUGGCAUUUGAGCCCUGUCCCUCCCUUGUGUUUCUGUUAAUAAACACCCAUUUUAGGCACCUUGAUAGGCAGGAAGGAAAAUAAAGACAUUUCUCCACCAGCAUUUAAUUGGAUCUACUGGGAAGAGCCAAGACUUUGGACCUGACAUUAUAAUCAUUAUCAGCCCAGCCAGAUACGGAUGAAAGCAGGUGGGAACUGAAGGGAAAACAAAUGGGAAUUGAUGUGGUGACACCAACCCCAGCUCAGCCCUGCUGUUUUCAGUCAAUUAUUGUUAAAUACAUGGACAUGGCAGGAUAAUCUAGAGCUCCAAGCCCUUCCCAGCCAUGCCAGCAGUGCCAGCGAAGUCCCUGAGGGCAGCAAAGCAAAUUGAGAUCAGCCCCACACCCCCUGGGACAUGCUUGGGGCAGUUUUGGGUGGCAGAACCCAGCCUGCAAUGCCAGAAUAAGGCAGAAUUAACAGAAUAUUUUUAUUGAAGCAUUUAAGGGAUAGUGUUGGUAGGCACUACUGGAUUCCCAAAUCCAGCCAGAGCCUGGAAACUCUUCCAGGGUUGGAGUGAGGAGCCAUGAAACCUCUCCUUUGUUGCACUCUGACAUUUGAUACGCAUUAAACAUUAAAUAUUAAAUAUUCUACUGCAGGCUGACUGGUCUCCCUGCUUUGGAGUGGCUCCGUGGCUGCUCCCAGCUCUCUCCCAGGCUUUAUCUCUGGUGUCCCCUUACAGCCUGGAUGUGAGAUCAGGCCGGCUCAGGGCUGGGAUUGCUGUCCAUGCAGGAGCCCCUGGAGGUGCUGGCAGCAUUCCCAAGCCCUGGCAUCCUCCUCCAGCCCAAUUAGGCUUCACCUCAGGUAACUCUUCAAAAGAAAACUCUCAAUAAUCAGAA
Passer domesticus (house sparrow) is the source of this 9121-nucleotide long non-coding RNA. RefSeq lists it as uncharacterized. Lineage: Eukaryota; Metazoa; Chordata; Aves; Passeriformes; Passeridae. The transcript is spliced from 3 exons. The record is from RefSeq and is a predicted model, not a curated record.